Molecule: unclassified non-coding RNA, 229 nt
Filed under: plant metagenome
Description: partial contains small subunit ribosomal RNA, internal transcribed spacer 1, and 5.8S ribosomal RNA
Source: RNAcentral
UCUCCGUAGGUGAACCUGCGGAGGGAUCAUUACAGAGUUCAUGCCCUACCGGGUAGAUCUCCCACCCUAUGUUAUUAUUACUUUGUUGCUUUGGCGGGCCGUUAGGCUCCGGCCCGACUACCGGCCCCGGCUGGUAAGCGCCCGCCAGAGGACCCAAAACCCUGAAUAUUAAUGUCAUCUGAGUACUAUAUAAUAGUUAAAACUUUCAACAACGGAUCUCUUGGUUCUG